RNAcentral lists this long non-coding RNA (1106 nucleotides) under Strigops habroptila (Kakapo). RNAcentral describes it as "lncRNA (ENSSHBG00005002708.1)". Lineage: Eukaryota; Metazoa; Chordata; Aves; Psittaciformes; Psittacidae. The record is from RNAcentral.
GGAGGAGCCGUUGCGGUGACGGUAGGAGCCGCCUCGUAGGGCUGCGGUGCCGUUAGCGCCCCGGCAGCGGGAGCUGCCUCGCCGCCACGGGGUGGUGAUCGCGGCGAAGCGGGACUUCGGGCUCCCUUGGCCCUACAGCCGCCUCUUGCGCCCCUCCCCGGGCCUCUUUCCGCCGCCGCGGGGCAAGGUGACGCGCGGGCGGGCGGGGGCCUGUCCGGUUGUCUCCCGGCCGCAGGGUGCGUGGUCGCUGGCCCCCGCCGCCCUGUCCGGCUCCGCCUGCCGCAGGAGCCGUGCGGGCACGACCGCGGUGGUGAGGCGCGACUUGAUGGUGUUGCGCCGCUGUAUUUCGGCACUUCCGUCCCGCGGGCUCUCCGCUCGCUGGCAUGUAGCGCGUUGAGCUGCUGCUGGAGGCUUGGGCAAACUCUGUGUUUGCCUUCUUAUAGCUGAGUAUUAGCUGUUAGUCAUUUUGCAGGGGGGUGAUACUGUAUUUUUUCCCGUUGCAGCUACAGUGCAAGAAUGAUCAUCCCAGUGAGAUGUUUCACAUGCGGCAAAAUAGUUGGAAACAAGUGGGAAGCCUAUCUUGGCCUUCUGCAAGCAGAAUAUACAGAAGGAGAUGCCCUGGAUGCCCUUGGUUUGAAGAGAUACUGCUGCCGCAGAAUGCUCCUGGCCCAUGUGGAUCUGAUUGAGAAGCUUUUGAAUUAUGCGCCCCUGGAGAAAUGAGAUAGAUGAACAAAGUACCACACUGCAAACUACAUGGAGCGGAUCUCUAAUGCUAAACUUGAAACUGGACUUCAGGUAGUAAUGGAUGAAAGCCACCUGUCAUGCAGCCACUGGGAAAUGUUUAGCCUCUGCAGAAAAUACUGCCCUGAGACAAUAACGUCUUUCAAGGAAACAAAGGAAAGAUGAAGUCCACUUAACCAAGAUUUGGAGAUCAAGUUAAAAGUUUGGAUGCUUCUUUUUUUAAAUCUGUGUUUGGAGUUGUUUUGUGAACUUUUAGAUGCAGCUGCCAGCAAAAAUAAGUGUGUGUUCAUAUAGAGAAAUUACUAUAUUUCAUUAAAAUGUUGAAAUAAAGGAGGUCUUUCCCUGUAGGCUUCCUACAGUUUCUG